RNAcentral lists this ribosomal RNA (1876 nucleotides) under Asellus aquaticus. Its description in RNAcentral is "bacterial LSU rRNA". The record is from RNAcentral. Lineage: Eukaryota; Metazoa; Arthropoda; Malacostraca; Isopoda; Asellidae.
CGUAUGCAUACAAACAGUCGGAGCCCGCAAGGGUGACGGCGUACCUUUUGUAUAAUGGGUCAGCGACUUACAUUCAGUGGCAAGGUUAACCGAAUAGGGAAGCCGUAGAGAAAUCGAGUCCGAAUAGGGCGUUCAGUCGCUGGGUGUAGACCCGAAACCAAGUGAUCUAUCCAUGGCCAGGAUGAAGGUGCCGUAACAGGUACUGGAGGUCCGAACCGACUAGUGUUGCAAAAUUAGCGGAUGAGCUGUGGAUAGGGGUGAAAGGCUAAACAAACUUGGAAAUAGCUGGUUCUCUCCGAAAACUAUUUAGGUAGUGCCUCAAGUAUUACCGUCGGGGGUAGAGCACUGUUAUGGCUAGGGGGUCAUGGCGACUUACCAAACCAUUGCAAACUCCGAAUACCGAUGAGUACAGCUUGGGAGACAGUGCACCGGGUGCUAACGUCCGGACACAAGAGGGAAACAACCCAGACCGCCAGCUAAGGUCCCUAAAAUUGGCUAAGUGGGAAACGAAGUGGGAAGGCUAAAACAGUCAGGAUGUUGGCUUAGAAGCAGCCAUCAUUUAAAGAAAGCGUAAUAGCUCACUGAUCGAGUCGUCCUGCGCGGAAGAUGUAACGGGGCUAAGCCAGUUACCGAAGCUGCGGAUGUGCGCGUAAGCGUACGUGGUAGGAGAGCGUUCUGUAAGCCUGUGAAGGUGGCUUGUGAAGGCUGCUGGAGGUAUCAGAAGUGCGAAUGCUGACAUGAGUAGCGUUAAAGGGGGUGAAAAGCCCCCUCGCCGAAAGCGCAAGGUUUCCUACGCAACGUUCAUCGGCGUAGGGUGAGUCGGCCCCUAAGGCGAGGCAGAGAUGCGUAGCUGAUGGAGAACAGGUCAAUAUUCCUGUACCGAUAUGUAGUGCGAUGUGGGGACGGAGAAGGUUAACUCAGCCGGGUGUUGGAUGUCCCGGUUCAAGCGUGUAGUCAUAUCCCUUAGGCAAAUCCGGGGGAUUUAGAUGAGGCGUGAUAACGAGGAGGCUUGCCUCUGAAGUGAGUGAUACCCUGCUUCCAGGAAAAGCCACUAAGCUUCAGCUACAUACGACCGUACCGCAAACCGACACUGGUGCGCGAGAUGAGUAUUCUAAGGCGCUUGAGAGAACUCUGGAGAAGGAACUCGGCAAAUUGACACCGUAACUUCGGAAGAAGGUGUGCCUUUAGUAGGUGAUCCAUUUACUUGGUGAGCCCAAUAAGGCCGCAGAGAAUCGGUGGCUGCAACUGUUUAUUAAAAACACAGCACUCUGCAAAGACGAAAGUCGACGUAUAGGGUGUGACUCCUGCCCGGUGCUGGAAGAUUAAAUGAUGGGGUGCAAGCUCUUGACUGAAGUCCCAGUAAACGGCGGCCGUAACAAUAACGGUCCUAAGGUAGCGAAAUUCCUUGUCGGGUAAGUUCCGACCUGCACGAAUGGCGUAAUGAUGGCCACACUGUCUCCUCCAGAGACUCAGCGAAGUUGAAAUGUUUGUGAUGAUGCAAUCUCCCCGCGGAAAGACGGAAAGACCCCAUGAACCUUUACUGUAGCUUUACAUUGGACUUUGAACAGAUCUGUGUAGGAUAGGUGGGAGGCUUUGAAGCGGUGCCGCUAGGUGUCGUGGAGCCAACGUUGAAAUACCACCCUGGUGUGUUUGAGGUUCUAACCUUGGCCCGUUAUCCGGGUUGGGGACAGUGUAUGGUGGGCAGUUUGACUGGGGCGGUCUCCUCCCAAAGCGUAACGGAGGAGUUCGAAGGUACGCUAGGCACGGUCGGAAAUCGUGCUGAUAGUGCAUUGGCAUAAGCGUGCUUGACUGCGAGACUGACAAGUCGAGCAGGUACGAAAGUAGGACAAAGUGAUCCGGUGGUUCUGUAGUGGRA